Molecule: long non-coding RNA, 206 nt
Filed under: Mytilus galloprovincialis (Mediterranean mussel)
Lineage: Eukaryota; Metazoa; Mollusca; Bivalvia; Mytilida; Mytilidae
Source: RNAcentral
GUAGAAGUAUUUAUUUGUUUCUGUCACGGGACCUUCGAUAUUGCGAAUUUGUUCUAGAUAAUUUUGAAAUCAUGUCAUUUAAGUAUGAUAUAAAUGUUAUGCAUGAUCACAUGGGAUAUGGUUUGAUAUUUCUUGUCCGAUGUGUUUUAUAUACCUUUAACACUGAGGAAAAUAAGCCCAUAUCUUCUGUAAACUAAGACCCCGAA